This is a long non-coding RNA of Chrysemys picta bellii (western painted turtle), 1870 nucleotides long. The record is from Ensembl. NCBI's taxonomy places the organism in Eukaryota, Metazoa, Chordata, Testudines, Emydidae.
UACUAGUUUCAAUGAAAACAGGAUUAAAAAUAGGAUUCUAGCUGACAAUUUGUGAUAUGAAACAGCCAAGAAUCCUCAACCCAUUAUCACACAUUAUGCCUAGCUCCCUGCGUCCUGCCGGCGGGGAGGCGCCGAAGUGCCCGGAGGGAGCCCAGCGUGCCGGCGCGGAGCCCCCCGGCGGGAGGAUGCGCUGAGCCGCCCCAGAGGAGGGGGCGCUGCUCCCGCUCGGCCAGAUGGUAUUAUAAUGGAAUGGCAGCUGAGAAGAUGAGACUAUGAGUGAAGAGUGUGUCUUGGAGAUUGCAUGCAGUUCAUUUUCCUGGGUCAAAAGUGGAUUGGUUUGAGAACAAUAAUUAUGAGGCUGACGUGUAUGUUCUCCUUCAUCUUGCUGUUUGGAGCAGCGGGACUUGUCGUCUUCAUUCAUCUGCAGGAUCCAGAAGACAUAGUUCAUCAGCAGACACCAGUUUUGCUCCAGUGCUUGCAAUGACAGCCCCGUGCUGAUGACUGUCUUUGGAAUCCCCUGGAUGCUUACUUAAAAACAAAACUCCAUUAAUAUCAUCAACUGACCCAGUGAAGUGUGAUCUGGAUUCCAGGUUUAUUAUUUGUUCAAAAAUAAUAAUUUUUGGACCUUUUACUCUUUGUUUUGCUGAGGGGAAAAGACAGAGACAGGACAGAGGAGAAUGAAAAUCUCUGAUGGGCUGUUCCUUAUUUUGGUUUUGGUUUGAGCCUAAUUAUUUUUAUUUGUAUUACAAUAGGGCCUAGAUCUUGAUUGGGCCCCCUUUGUGCAAGGGGUUGUAUAAAUACACAGAGAGAUUCUCUACCCUGAAGAGCUUUCAUUCUAAAUAGACAAGACAAAGGGAGGGAGAAAGGAAGUUUUUAUCCUCAUUUUACAGUUGGAGAGCUGAGGCUCAGAGAAAUUAAGUAACUUGCCCAAGGUCAUGCUGGAAGUUUGGUUAGAACUGUGAAUGGAAUUCAGAACUCCAGAGUUCCAGUCCAGUGCCUUAACCACAAGACCCUCCUUCCAAAAUGCUGGGAUAACGCUAAGGUAUUUGUUUAGAAGUCAAGCAGCAUUUUCUCACUUACAUUUAUUACCCAGCUUCUCUUUUAUCUCAGCAUAAUUGAAAACACAGCUUACAGCCUAACCCAGGGAAGUGGCUGUCUCAAGGUAUUGGUAACAGACCAUAAAGACUUCCACUUCCACAGCACUGCUUCCAUCCACCACAGAUCAAUAAGUGGCCAGAGAGGGACCCAAAGUUUGAACUUCGCAAAGUUCAUGGGUGACUGGAUCCAGGGUGUUCAUUUGGUCCAUGAUAUAGAGAGGUGGUGAAAUUUGAAUCAGCUUCCAAUUCUGAUAUUCUCCAAAUAUGAGAGAUGUUCAUAAUCAUUUGUAGUAGCUUUUGUUCAGGCCCACCUCUAGCAGUGACUGUAGUAAUGACUGAAAACAACAUCCAUCCAAUGCCUGUUUAAUAGCCUAUACGGUGAAUCAGUCCCAUUCCUACUGGACUAAAGUAUUGCUACAGUUUGCAUCUUUGCUGACAGUCUCAGAUGAGAAGGCCAAGAGACUAAAGUAUUCUCUCAUGCUUAGAGAUUGUCCCUCUGGGUCCAGGUUGAAGCACUUCCCUGGGGCAUGAUACAAAAUCUAGCACAGCCUUUGCCCAUUCUGCACUGGCUCUGACAAUACAGGACUUUACCACCCAGGGCAGUGAAAAAACCAAAAGCUUAGCUCUUAACCUGACCCUUCGCAUUAUGGAAGUAUUCUGAACAGCCACAGUAUAGUUUUAAAAGGGCAGAUUUUUAAGGAGUUCUGGAAGCUACAAAAACUGAGCAAAGUUUGUUACUUUGCUGUAAAUAAAGUCCUACUGAACCAUGCCCA